CCCUUAGAUGUUCUGGGCCGCACGCGCGCCACACUGAUGCAUUCAACGAGUCUAAAACCUGCUCUGAUAGGGGUGGGUAAUCUUUUGAAUGUGCAUCGUGAUUGGGAUAGAUGAUUGCAAUUUUUCAUCUUCAACGAGGAAUGCCUAGUAAACGCAAGUCAUCAGCUUGCAUUGAUUACGUCCCUGCCCUUUGUACACACCGCCCGUCGCUCCUACCGAUUGAAUGAUCCGAUGAAUAUCAUGGAUUGAGGAUGCAAGUAGGUUCGCCUAUCUUCAUCUUCGAGAAGUGAAGUAAAUCUUAUCAUUUAGAGGAAGGAGAAGUCGUAACA
RNAcentral lists this ribosomal RNA (329 nucleotides) under uncultured eukaryote. RNAcentral's name for it is "partial 18S ribosomal RNA". It matches the Rfam family "Eukaryotic small subunit ribosomal RNA", at positions 1470 to 1796 of the family's 1831-position model. The record is from RNAcentral.